GCACUCUCAGUAUCACACCUGGAGAGUUUACAGUAUUCUACCCGUCUCGACUAUGGGAGGGAGAGUCAAGCAGAGGCACACCCAUUCCAUUCCUAGCUUGGCCAGUGGCUAGUGGGUGGAAGACAAUCUGCUACAAGU
Non-coding RNA from Ornithorhynchus anatinus (platypus), 138 nucleotides. The record is from Rfam. NCBI's taxonomy places the organism in Eukaryota, Metazoa, Chordata, Mammalia, Monotremata, Ornithorhynchidae.